GUUUAGAUAUUUGAUUAUGUUAUUUGGUGUGUGUGUAUUUCUAUAAUGGGUUUGAAAUGUGUAGUGUUUCUUUCUUAAGAGAACACCUGUGACAACACUAGGGGUAAACUAGGGAAGCAAGGAAAGAAAAGAAGGGAAACAUGGAUGUUAGGGGAGAAAUUCUAUUUUCGCUUUACAUAACUGAGAAAACAGAUAACAUAAAGAAAAAUUCACAUCUGCCUCUUGAGGUGAAAAUAUAAGAUAGGAUUUUAUAUAUCUGUACUGAAAAUUGAUAAAGGGAGAAGAAAAUUAAGAGGAAUGUGAAAUUAAACAUGAUCUAAGCUUUUAUAUAGGAUUAAGGGGUUGGAAAUUUAAGACGUGGACUAACUGGCAUAAGAUUUCAUUUCGAGAACAAGGUGGGAAUUUAGACAGAAAUUCAGGUGGAACAACUGCAGUGAAAAACGAAGGAAAAGAAGAGGAAAGUGAAUACUACGUUUGGCUUGAGCUUAUAUGUAUGGGUUUUUCAAAAACAAGCGUAUUGUGUUGUACGACACCUUGAUUCAACAGUUUGUUUGAUAUUUUGAUUUUAUUGUACGUGAGAGAGGGGAUUUGUUGGUGUAGAUGGCAUUGAAGCUUAGCUGGUGAAGAUGCAGUUCUUAAGUGAAUUGCAGGUGGUAUGAGGAUGGAACUGAGCAUGGGAAUGGUUAUGAACAGGUUGUUGUUGCUAAUUACAAGUUAUGUAGGUGUUGAUUUCAGAGUAUGAAAGUUCACAUAGAGCUGUAGGAGUGUGAAAGUGGUACAAAUGCAGAUUUGGCGUUGGUUUGGAAUGAACUGGUAACUAUGGGAUGAAUGGGAAUAGCUCAGGUAUGCACUGGUUGAAGAAUCAGAUGGGUUUGAGUUAAUGAUGCUCGGAUAGAUGUAUGUUAGGAGUUAACAUUACAGGUACUGGUGCAGCUGCAGUUAAGACAGUGGUAAUGGAAUAGAGGAAAUUCAGAUGUGAAGUAAGCUCUUUCAGAUGUGCAAAUAUAUUGGAAUCGAGAAAGACAAAAAAGGAAGAAAACAUUUCUAUUAUAGGAUAUAGUGGAUUAUUUCUAGGAUUUCACUUUCCGAAUCUCAUGUUUUAAUUCGUUUAUUGUGUUCAAACAACCAAUUCUAUGAUUGUAGUAAUUGAUGAACGGACAAAUUAUUAUAAAUGAAAAUUAAAGUAAUAUAUGUAUUUUAUUGUGAA
This is a long non-coding RNA of Papaver somniferum (opium poppy), 1207 nucleotides long. RefSeq lists it as uncharacterized. Lineage: Eukaryota; Viridiplantae; Streptophyta; Magnoliopsida; Ranunculales; Papaveraceae. The record is from RefSeq and is a predicted model, not a curated record. The transcript is spliced from 6 exons.